GACGAACGCUGGCGGCGUGCCUAAUACAUGCAAGUCGAGCGAAUGAAAGAGAAGCUUGCUUCUCUGGAUUUAGCGGCGGACGGGUGAGUAACACGUGGGCAACCUACCUUAUAGAUGGGGAUAACUCCGGGAAACCGGGGCUAAUACCGAAUAACUCCAAGCACCUCCUGGUGCUUGGUUGAAAGACGGUUUCGGCUGUCACUAUAAGAUGGGCCCGCGGCGCAUUAGCUAGUUGGUAAGGUAACGGCUUACCAAGGCAACGAUGCGUAGCCGACCUGAGAGGUUGACCGGCCACAUUGGGAAUGAGACACGGCCCAGACUCCUACGGGAGGCAGCAGUGGGGAAUUUUGGGCAAUGAGGGAAACCCUGACCCAGCGACGCCGCGUGGAGGAUGAAGGCCUUCGGGUUGUAAACUUCUUUGGCCAGGGACGAA
Molecule: ribosomal RNA, 433 nt
Filed under: uncultured bacterium
Lineage: Bacteria
Description: SSU rRNA
Rfam family: Bacterial small subunit ribosomal RNA
Source: RNAcentral